This 236-nucleotide ribosomal RNA is filed under the name Armadillo officinalis (oak-woodland pillbug). Its description in RNAcentral is "partial large subunit ribosomal RNA". It matches the Rfam family "Bacterial large subunit ribosomal RNA", at positions 2274 to 2619 of the family's 2925-position model. The record is from RNAcentral. Lineage: Eukaryota; Metazoa; Arthropoda; Malacostraca; Isopoda; Armadillidae.
UUGGGGUGACAUUUUUUUAAAACAAAGAACUAUUUUAACUCAUUAAGAGACUUAACCUAUCUUUUAAAAAAAAGAAAAAGGUACUCUAGGGAUAACAGCAUAAUCUUCUUUUAGAGCCCUAAUCGACAAGAAAGAUUUUGACCUCGAUGUUGAAUUGAUAUUCCUUCUUAAAGCAGAAUUUUCUAAAGGGGGUCUGUUCGACCUUUAACUUAUCACGUGAUCUGAGUUCAAACCGG